This is a long non-coding RNA of Clupea harengus (Atlantic herring), 1541 nucleotides long. The record is from Ensembl. NCBI's taxonomy places the organism in Eukaryota, Metazoa, Chordata, Actinopteri, Clupeiformes, Clupeidae.
UCCGGGCGCCUGACCGGGCUGUGGCACUUGGCACAUCUGUUCUCUGACAGCUCUCCCGAUGCUGUCAUCUGUUCCUCUGGCUCGCCCCCUUUCUAGGUAACGUUUGUCGUAAAUGCUAUGGCUGCGGUAGCUAGAAAUCAUUGCUCCAGUUUCCUAAAACAUCGAUAGCUUAUCAAGUUAAGCUUGCCGCUUAUGUUAGCGUUAAAUCGUUUAGGGAAAAUAUUUGCUUUAGUUAGCCAGUUACAGUUAGCCAGCAAGCUAAUCCAGUUUGACAGUUCACUAGCUUGUCAGAUGGCAUCUAUAAAUGGUUAGUUUGUGGUCUAACUUAAGGCUUUUUUUGCAAGUGUCAACAUGGGAUAAUAAUUCAACCUCACCACAAAAGUUCAGAGACAGGUCCAGUGUACCUGAUGAAUCCUUUGCGACAUGCUAGCUACCUUGGUAUAUCAGCAGCCUAUCUGCAUUUACAGUCUUAAUAUAAUGGGCGUUAGCGGUUUCUUCCUAUCCAUCUGUAGGGUUAGGGGCAACUAGAUGCUGCACGACAGCUUUGCUAUCUUACACUGGACAGAAUCGUUAAAGGCAUUUUGAGGGUCGUCAGUUAACUUAUUGCCUUGGAAAAUGCAAACCUAUAUUACACUAUUCGAUGGAAGUCUUUUACAGUCUCUUGCGGUUUCAUUAACCUUAGUUUGCCGUAGCUAAAUCUCUCGGCAGUCUUGGUUAAUAACCUAGCUGAAUGGCUUGCUAUGCAAUUUUCCGUUUCUUGCACCUUCCGAGUCGUGUCAGCUGAAGGGUGUUUGUUUCCUUGUACGGAUCCAAACAGUGGCUAGUUUUAGCAGAUUUUGAGGUAAACUUCUUAUCAUAUGUUGCUAGCCCGUGAAUUAUCAAAGCAAAUACUUUUUUGCAUAAUCACAAAACCGGACUCUGUUUACAAACUUGCUAUUUUUGAUGCACAUAAUGAGUGAUCAUUAUGUGAAGGUAAAAGUUCAGCUUGAACAACUGAAGUCUACGGGCGAGGUGGAGGAGGCAGAGACAGCUGGGGAGGAGCAGGUGCCCAACGAAACGCCGCCGGCAUCCCUUUCCCCUCUUCCCGUUGCCCUUGAAGUCCGGAGGGAUGCCUCAAAGAAUCCCGGCACGGCCAGGAACAGGAGCAAAAGUCGGACUAAGCUCGGAACUAUGACAAGAGCCCUAACACUAAACAAGACGCGCCCGUUUCGAGCCACCUGGACAAUGCGCCGUCGCUCCAGGUUAAAGGUACCGGAAAGGUUUUACAGGAGAAAGCGGAGGCGAACGGAAACGUGGUGACCAGCCAGCCACAUAAAGAUAUCAAAAGUGCACACAGCAAAGAGGAUGCCAACACACUUGUCAAAAAGAGGAGACCAGUCACCGUGGACACGUCCAAGGCCAAGACAUCUCUUGAGGCGCUCAAACUCAGCAUCCGGCAGCUCAAGUGGAAGGAGGUACGCUCAAAUAGCGAUGGUCAAACAGUCACAUAUACAUAUAGUUUUGAUGCCGCUUCCGUGAAUUUAUUUCUGGUCAGCAUGGCG